GUGGGGAAUUUUGGACAAUGGGAGCAACCCUGAUCCAGCCAUGCCGCGUGCGGGAAGAAGGCCUUCGGGUUGUAAACCGCUUUUGUCAGGGAAGAAAUCCUUUGGGUUAAUACCUCGGAGGGAUGACGGUACCUGAAGAAUAAGCACCGGCUAACUACGUGCCAGCAGCCGCGGUAAUACGUAGGGUGCGAGCGUUAAUCGGAAUUACUGGGCGUAAAGCGUGCGCAGGCGGUUUUGUAAGAUCGAUGUGAAAUCCCCGGGCUCAACCUGGGAACUGCAUUGGUGACUGCAAGGCUGGAGUGCGGCAGAGGGGGAUGGAAUUCCGCGUGUAGCAGUGAAAUGCGUAGAUAUGCGGAGGAACACCGAUGGCGAAGGCAAUCCCCUGGGCCUGCACUGACGCUCAUGCACGAAAGCGUGGGGAGCAAACAGGAUUAGAAACCCUGGUAGUCC
This 450-nucleotide ribosomal RNA is filed under the name uncultured bacterium. Its description in RNAcentral is "partial 16S ribosomal RNA". It matches the Rfam family "Bacterial small subunit ribosomal RNA", at positions 354 to 796 of the family's 1533-position model. The record is from RNAcentral.